RNAcentral lists this ribosomal RNA (425 nucleotides) under uncultured bacterium. RNAcentral's name for it is "partial 16S ribosomal RNA". It matches the Rfam family "Bacterial small subunit ribosomal RNA", at positions 354 to 796 of the family's 1533-position model. The record is from RNAcentral.
GUGGGGAAUAUUGCACAAUGGGGGAAACCCUGAUGCAGCGACGCCGCGUGGAGGAAGAAGGUCUUCGGAUUGUAAACUCCUGUUGUUGAGGAAGAUAAUGACGGUACUCAACAAGGAAGUGACGGCUAACUACGUGCCAGCAGCCGCGGUAAAACGUAGGUCACAAGCGUUGUCCGGAAUUACUGGGUGUAAAGGGAGCGCAGGCGGGAAGACAAGUUGGAAGUGAAAUCCAUGGGCUCAACCCAUGAACUGCUUUCAAAACUGUUUUUCUUGAGUAGUGCAGAGGUAGGCGGAAUUCCCGGUGUAGCGGUGGAAUGCGUAGAUAUCGGGAGGAACACCAGUGGCGAAGGCGGCCUACUGGGCACCAACUGACGCUGAGGCUCGAAAGUGUGGGUAGCAAACAGGAUUAGAUACCCUUGUAGUCC